UACAGAGGGUGCGAGCGUUAAUCGGAAUUACUGGGCGUAAAGCGUGCGUAGACGGUAGCGUAAGUCAGAUGUGAAAGCCCCGGGCUCAACCUGGGAAUGGCAUUUGGGACUGCAAGGCUUGAGUGCGGCAGAGGAGACUGGAAUUCCUGGUGUAGCAGUGAAAUGCGUAGAUAUCAGGAGGAACACCUGUGGUGUAGACAGCUUACUGGACCACUUCUGACGCUGAGACACGAAAGCGUGGGUAGCAAACAGG
This 253-nucleotide ribosomal RNA is filed under the name uncultured bacterium. RNAcentral's name for it is "partial 16S ribosomal RNA". It matches the Rfam family "Bacterial small subunit ribosomal RNA", at positions 524 to 776 of the family's 1533-position model. The record is from RNAcentral.